UAACCAACAACUAAUUUUGAGGCAAAUCUCUCGUCCUGUACUGCUCGAGACCUUGUGAUAGCCCAACCCUGCAGAUCAGCCACGGGACAGCUCAGGAAGCCGCUGCAGAGAAAUGGAAAGUUUCUUCCAGAAAAAAAACAGCUUCGCCACGGCUCUGAACCACUGUCCCACAUCUCAUAUAAAAUAAGUCUGGGACAACCUAGAAAUCUGCACUGAGGCUCUAUUGCAGGUGUGGUCCAACACGAGACCAGACUAAGCUGAGGCAGAGGAAACAUUGGAGCCAGGCCGGCUCAUCAAGUCUGCAGUAGAAAUCUCUUUUGAAGUCAGCAAAGAGCUCUGCACAGACAUCAGGAUAGCCCUUCGAUUUACAUAGCUUCAAGCCUACUGUUGACCAAUGCAGCAUUCAAUGGACAUCAUAAUCCUCAAGAAAUGAAAUCCCUCAUUUCACCAAAAAUGCAAAUUAUGAUAUAAUAGUAUGAUAUUAAUCAGAAUAUGAUUCUGAUUUCUUCUUCUUCUGUAUGGCAGGGCACAGUGAG
RNAcentral lists this long non-coding RNA (536 nucleotides) under Struthio camelus australis. Its description in RNAcentral is "lncRNA (ENSSCUG00000001364.1)". The record is from RNAcentral. Lineage: Eukaryota; Metazoa; Chordata; Aves; Struthioniformes; Struthionidae.